This is a long non-coding RNA of Orcinus orca (killer whale), 338 nucleotides long. RefSeq lists it as uncharacterized. The record is from RefSeq and is a predicted model, not a curated record. Lineage: Eukaryota; Metazoa; Chordata; Mammalia; Artiodactyla; Delphinidae. The transcript is spliced from 4 exons.
GCCACCCUGCCUCCCCCAAAAAGGCCAGAAGAAGGGCAGACGGAAGGAAGAGGGAAGAAAGAAAAGCAGGGAAGAAGGAUCGAGGGACACGCAGAAGAAUGUGUCUGCUGCUCCAAAUGUGGCACCGUUUAAGCUCCCGUUAAAUGAUUGUUCUGUUUCUUCUGGUUCUUGGAGGGACGGGAGACAUUCAUCCUCUUUUGACUGUCCCUGUUGACUUUCCUGUGUUUCUCCAACCUGCUUCUCUGGGUGCUGUGAGUGCUGUGUCAGAUCCCUCAGGCAAAGGCUCCUUCUCAGAAGCUGCUGACUUUCGCCAAAUCAGCAUCAAAUCACAGCUGCCC